AUUGAACGCUGGCGGCAGGCCUAACACAUGCAAGUCGAAUGGUAACAGGAAACAGCUUGCUGUUUCGCUGACGAGUGGCGGACGGGUGAGUAAUGUCUGGGAAACUGCCUGAUGGAGGGGGAUAACUACUGGAAACGGUAGCUAAUACCGCAUAACGUCGCAAGACCAAAGAGGGGGACCUUCGGGCCUCUUGCCAUCAGAUGUGCCCAGAUGGGAUUAGCUAGUAGGUGGGGUAACGGCUCACCUAGGCGACGAUCCCUAGCUGGUCUGAGAGGAUGACCAGCCACACUGGAACUGAGACACGGUCCAGACUCCUACGGGAGGCACCAGUGGGGAAUAUUGCACAAUGGGCGCAAGCCUGAUGCAGCCAUGCCGCGUGUAUGAAGAAGGCCUUCGGGUUGUAAAGUACUUUCAGCGGGGAGGAAGGGAGUAAAGUUAAUACCUUUGCUCAUUGACGUUACCCGCAGAAGAAGCACCGGCUAACUCCGUG
Molecule: ribosomal RNA, 490 nt
Filed under: uncultured bacterium
Lineage: Bacteria
Description: partial 16S ribosomal RNA
Rfam family: Bacterial small subunit ribosomal RNA
Source: RNAcentral